Molecule: ribosomal RNA, 261 nt
Filed under: uncultured bacterium
Lineage: Bacteria
Description: partial 16S ribosomal RNA
Rfam family: Bacterial small subunit ribosomal RNA
Source: RNAcentral
GUCCACACCGUAAACGUUGGGCGCUAGGUGUGGGAUCCAUUCCACGGGUUCCGUGCCGUAGCUAACGCAUUAAGCGCCCCGCCUGGGGAGUACGGCCGCAAGGCUAAAACUCAAAGGAAUUGACGGGGGCCCGCACAAGCGGCGGAGCAUGCGGAUUAAUUCGAUGCAACGCGAAGAACCUUACCUGGGUUUGACAUACACCGGAAAGCUGCAGAGAUGUGGCCCCUUUUUGUCGGUGUACAGGUGGUGCAUGGCUGUCGU